Molecule: ribosomal RNA, 292 nt
Filed under: uncultured bacterium
Lineage: Bacteria
Description: partial 16S ribosomal RNA
Rfam family: Bacterial small subunit ribosomal RNA
Source: RNAcentral
GUGCCAGCAGCCGCGGUAAGACGUAGGAUGCGAGCGUUGUCCGGAUUUAUUGGGCGUAAAGAGUUCGUAGGUGGUUUUAUAAGUCUGGUGUCAAAGGCUGGGGCUCAACCCUGGAUGUGCACUGGAUACUGUAAGACUGGAGUGCAGUAGAGGCAAGCGGAAUUCCCAGUGUAGCGGUGAAAUGCGUAGAUAUUGGGAAGAACACCGGUGGCGCAAGCGGCUUGCUGGGCUGUAACUGACACUGAGGAACGAAAGCUAGGGGAGCGAAUGGGAUUAGAUACCCCAGUAGUCC